CAGCGCCACAAGUGGUGAUCAUUUUUAUUGGGCCUAAAGCGUUCGUAGCCGGUUUGAUAAAUCUUCUGUGAAAUUGUCAGGCUUAACCUGACAGCUUGCAGAAGACGCUAUUAGACUAGGGACCGGGAGGAGUCAGAGGUAUUCUUGGGGGAGCGGUAAAAUGCUAUAAUCCUAAGAAGACUAACAGUGGCGAAGGCGUCUGACCAGAACGGAUCCGACGGUGAUUGGACGAAAGUCAGGGGAGCAAUCCGGAUUAGAUACCCGAGUAGUCC
RNAcentral lists this ribosomal RNA (272 nucleotides) under uncultured archaeon. RNAcentral describes it as "partial 16S ribosomal RNA". It matches the Rfam family "Archaeal small subunit ribosomal RNA", at positions 477 to 747 of the family's 1478-position model. The record is from RNAcentral.